RNAcentral lists this ribosomal RNA (460 nucleotides) under uncultured bacterium. RNAcentral describes it as "partial 16S ribosomal RNA". It matches the Rfam family "Bacterial small subunit ribosomal RNA", at positions 338 to 795 of the family's 1533-position model. The record is from RNAcentral.
CCUACGGGUGGCAGCAGUGAGGAAUAUUGGUCAAUGGACGAGAGUCUGAACCAGCCAAGUAGCGUGAAGGAUGACUGCCCUAUGGGUUGUAAACUUCUUUUAUAUGGGAAUAAAAUGUUCCACGUGUGGGAUUUUGUAUGUACCAUAUGAAUAAGGAUCGGCUAACUCCGUGCCAGCAGCCGCGGUAAUACGGAGGAUCCGAGCGUUAUCCGGAUUUAUUGGGUUUAAAGGGAGCGUAGGUGGAUUGUUAAGUCAGUUGUGAAAGUUUGCGGCUCAACCGUAAAAUUGCAGUUGAAACUGGCAGUCUUGAGUACAGUAGAGGUGGGCAGAAUUCGUGGUGUAGCGGUGAAAUGCUUAGAUAUCACGAAGAACUCCGAUUGCGAAGGCAGUUCACUGGACUGCAACUGACACUGAGGCUCGAAAGUGUGGGUAUCAAACAGGAUUAGAUACCACUGUAGUC